GUGAGCUGGUGGGCAGGUUCGGGGCAUGAGCCCUGGGGAAGCUCCUCCCUCCCCGCAGGAGACGCGGCGUCGAGAGACGCGGCGGGAGACCGCCGGCUCUGGAACAGAAACGAUACCCGCGCCGAGGAUGCCAUGAUGGCAGUGAUGCCGGAGGACCCUUGGACGAGGGAUGAAACGGCCAACCCGCGUGGAGCAAGGUCAAAUCGGGCUGAUGACGGGCUUCCUGCCGGAAGUCCAGGUGGACCUCUUAGCUGAAUCCUGCCUAGAACAGGAGGAGGGCUACGGCCAGGAAAC
Molecule: RNase P RNA, 294 nt
Filed under: Nitrososphaeria archaeon
Lineage: Archaea; Thermoproteati; Nitrososphaerota; Nitrososphaeria
Description: RNase P RNA component
Rfam family: Archaeal RNase P
About the family: Ribonuclease P (RNase P) is a ubiquitous endoribonuclease, found in archaea, bacteria and eukarya as well as chloroplasts and mitochondria. Its best characterised activity is the generation of mature 5'-ends of tRNAs by cleaving the 5'-leader elements of precursor-tRNAs. Cellular RNase Ps are ribonucleoproteins.
Source: RNAcentral